RNAcentral lists this ribosomal RNA (445 nucleotides) under uncultured bacterium. Its description in RNAcentral is "bacterial SSU rRNA". It matches the Rfam family "Bacterial small subunit ribosomal RNA", at positions 958 to 1398 of the family's 1533-position model. The record is from RNAcentral.
AACGCGAAGAACCUUACCAGCUUUUGACAUGUCCGGUAUGAUUUCCAGAGAUGGAUCUCUUCAGUUCGGCUGGCCGGAACACAGGUGCUGCAUGGCUGUCGUCAGCUCGUGUCGUGAGAUGUUGGGUUAAGUCCCGCAACGAGCGCAACCCUCGCCCUUAGUUGCCAUCAUUUAGUUGGGCACUCUAGGGGGACUGCCGGUGAUAAGCCGCGAGGAAGGUGGGGAUGACGUCAAGUCCUCAUGGCCCUUACAGGCUGGGCUACACACGUGCUACAAUGGCGGUGACAAUGGGAUGCAAAAGGGCAACCUCUCGCAAAAUCUCAAAAAGCCGUCUCAGUUCGGAUUGUACUCUGCAACUCGAGUGCAUGAAGGUGGAAUCGCUAGUAAUCGUAGAUCAGCAUGCUACGGUGAAUACGUUCCCGGGCCUUGUACACACCGAGACGUA